UCGCAUGAGUUGUUCUGGACUUGCUCUGCAUGUCGGGCUCCCUGCACUUUUGGUGCGGCCAACCGACAUGGGGCUGUCUCUUCACUCUCCCUCCUGUCAUUUAAUUUGUCGGGGUUGGGAUGCUUGUGAUCGGUUGCCUGUGUAGUUCUACCCUGUUGUGGGUAGCGAAGUUGUCCCUCGAUUGAUAUUUGCUUGCCUUUCUGACAUUUUUUUGUCGGUUGGGCAGCCGAAAUGAUGGCGAGAUCCUUGUGUAGGUGCGUUUGGUCGAAUGGCCUUGUUGCUAUCGCUUGGAUUUUUGCCGCCUCUCACGGAUACAGUGCCUAUUGCUAGCUCUGCGUGACUUUACUCCGCAGACUUCGGGAGGUCCCUUGUACGAAUCAUUGCGACGUGGGCGCCGUUUGUCGUGUUGCUUGUUUGGCACGCAAAUCGUAUUGUUCUGUCUGGAGUCGGGAUGACGAAGGGCAAGAAUGAAGUGUCCGGGGUGUGAUUGCGUACAUGGGAAAGCCUCUCCGAUCGUAUGAGCAGCGAUUUCCGGCUUGCGUCAUGCGAAGGCGCUGCCCGUUCGGGUUGGUGCCGGAGCUGACGCGCCGGCUCUCGUGUAAGACGUGCUACCUGGUUGAUCCUGCCAGUAGUCAUAUGCUUGUCU
This 646-nucleotide unclassified non-coding RNA is filed under the name Carex canescens. Its description in RNAcentral is "partial contains external transcribed spacer 1 and small subunit ribosomal RNA". The record is from RNAcentral. Lineage: Eukaryota; Viridiplantae; Streptophyta; Magnoliopsida; Poales; Cyperaceae.